This 419-nucleotide ribosomal RNA is filed under the name uncultured eukaryote. RNAcentral's name for it is "bacterial SSU rRNA". It matches the Rfam family "Eukaryotic small subunit ribosomal RNA", at positions 592 to 1013 of the family's 1831-position model. The record is from RNAcentral.
CAAUAGCGUAUAUUAAAGUUGUUGCGGUUAAAAAGCUCGUAGUUGGAUUUCUGUUGAUAACGGCCGGUCCGCACUAUGUGCGUGUAUCAGGUUCGGUGUCGGCAUCCUCGUGGGGAUCGUUUCUGUGCUUGAUUGCAUGGGGCGGAAUUCACGACUUUUACUUGAGGAAAUUAGAGUGUUCACGGCAAGCUAUCGCUUUGAAUACAUUAGCAUGGAAUAAUGAUAUAGGGCGUAAGUUCUAUUUUGUUGGUUUCUAGGACGUACGCAAUGAUUAAUAGGGAUAAUUGGGGGCAUUCGUAUUAACGCGUCAGAGGUGGAAUUCUUAGAUUGCGUUACGACGAACUACUACAGAACGAUCGCAUUGCAAGAUGUUUUUCAUUGAUCAAGAACGAAAGUAUGGGGAUCGAAGAUGAUCAGAU